Non-coding RNA from Oryza meridionalis, 206 nucleotides. The record is from Rfam. NCBI's taxonomy places the organism in Eukaryota, Viridiplantae, Streptophyta, Magnoliopsida, Poales, Poaceae.
AAUAAGUGUAGUUUUACACUAUUCAUGUUCAACGUUUGACUAUUCAUCUUAUUUGAAAAUUUUUUGUGAUUAAUAUUUUUAUUGUUAUUAGAUGAUAAAACAUUAAUAGUACUUUAUGUCAAACUAUUUGUUUUAAUUUUUUAUAAAUUUUUUGAAUAAGAUGGACGAUCAAACGUUCGACACAGAUACCCACAGCUGCACUUAUU